CCUACGGGAGGCAGCAGUGAGGAAUAUUGGUCAAUGGACGCAAGGCUGAACCAGCCAUGCCGCGUGCAGGAAGAAGGAUCUAUGAGUUGUAAACUGCUUUUGUACGGGGGUAAACGCAUAUACGCGUAUCUAUCUGCAAGUAUCCUACGAAUAAGGAUCGGCUAACUCCGUGCCAGCAGCCGCGGUAAUACGGAGGAUUCAAGCGUUAUCCGGAUUUAUUGGGUUUAAAGGGUGCGUAGGCGGUUGUAUAAGUUAGCGGUGAAAUCCCGUGGCUCAACCUCGGAAUUGCCUCUGAUACUGGUAGGCUAGAGAGUAUUUGCGGUAGGCGGAAUGUAUGGUGUAGCGGUGAAAUGCAUAGAUAUCACGCAGAACACCGAUUGCGAAGGCAGCUUACCAAGCUAUUUCUGACGUUGAGGCACGAAAGCGUGGGGAGCAAACAGGAUUAGAUACCCUUGUAGUC
Molecule: ribosomal RNA, 460 nt
Filed under: uncultured bacterium
Lineage: Bacteria
Description: partial 16S ribosomal RNA
Rfam family: Bacterial small subunit ribosomal RNA
Source: RNAcentral